This 236-nucleotide ribosomal RNA is filed under the name uncultured Eubacteriales bacterium. Its description in RNAcentral is "uncultured Clostridiales bacterium partial 16S ribosomal RNA". It matches the Rfam family "Bacterial small subunit ribosomal RNA", at positions 100 to 334 of the family's 1533-position model. Lineage: Bacteria; Bacillati; Bacillota; Clostridia; Eubacteriales. The record is from RNAcentral.
CGGGACGGGUGAGUAACGCGUGAGUAACCUGCCUUACACAAGGGGAUAGCCGUUGUAAACGACGAAUAAUACCCUAUGAAACUAUCACUUCGCAUGAAGCGAUAGUCAAAGUGUUAGCGGUGUAAGAUGGACUUGCGUCUGAUUAGCUAGUUGGUGAGAAAAAAGCCCACCAAGGCAACGAUCAGUAGCCGGCUUGAGAGAGUGUACGGCCACAUUGGGACUUAGACACGGCCCAG